RNAcentral lists this unclassified non-coding RNA (4683 nucleotides) under Neodiprion lecontei (redheaded pine sawfly). RNAcentral's name for it is "gPI inositol-deacylase, transcript variant X4". The record is from RNAcentral. Lineage: Eukaryota; Metazoa; Arthropoda; Insecta; Hymenoptera; Diprionidae.
GUGGUUUAAAAUAGCUGAAAAUGUGUCAUGGACGGACUCUGUGGCCCGAGAAAUACGGGAAAUGUAAAAACACUAAAAGGCGUGGAAACACAACACAUUUUUUAAAAUGAUAUUCAGGAUACCUAUAAUUUUUUGAGAUCUGCUAGAAUAUUGCCCAGUCGGCAAGGUUAGGAGCACUUCUUAGCCAAAGUUAUCCCAGUGAUCCACAAAAACAUAUAAUUAAUGUGAUAAAAGAUCAAUUUCUCCACGCUGAAUGCAUAGAAACGUAACUAAACAGUGGGUACCGAAAUUUCGGCACUACCUCUUUAUUUCAUAAUAGUAACAAAAUGCGCAACCGCGCAAGCAAUCUAAACUCGUUGAGCGACAUUUCUAGCGUUGACUCUUAGAUAUACUUAAAUCAACGCUUCUAGUCUUACCUUUACGAAACCAAUCUUUCCACCCCGUCCGUGUACAACCCGAAUGGAUACUCCAAACCUGUCCCUAACCUCCACGUGUUGUACCCUAACCCUAAUCCGGCGGGACUGCAUGUUUUGGAAAAGCACUUGAAUCUAUCGUAAUUCAUGGAAUUAAUUAACAAUUCCACAUCACGUUGAAUAAAGAUAGCAGCCGAGUGCAAUUAAGUCAUUUGACUAUGAAGUCUUACUUUAUGUGUGUUGUUAUUUCCACACCAGUGCUUAUUAUGUAUUUACUUGGUACUGUCAAAUUUAUCUUCGACCACGAGGGGAACUCGUGCGAGAUGACCUACAUGUUUGAAUAUCCUGAAUAUGUGCACAUUCCACUACAAGAAGAAAUCCAACAACAGUAUCCAAGAUAUGGACUAUACGCGUAUGGCGAAGGUUUCACCGUAUCGAGAAUACGAGCCAUGCACUUCUCUGGUAUUCCAGUAUUAUUUAUCCCUGGAAACGCUGGUUCACAUCAUCAAGUGAGAUCAUUGGCAUCGAUUAGUUUGAGGAAAAGUCUCAAGGAUGGGACUCCCUUUCAUUUUGACUAUUUCACCGUUGAUCUGCAAGGAGAAUACUCUGCGUUGUAUGGUGGUGUCUUGAAAGAACAAAUUGAAUUUGUGUCUCAUUGCAUACGGAAAAUUCUAAGAUUUUAUGGAGGCAAGAUAGACAGCGUAAUAAUUAUAGGACACUCGAUGGGUGGCAUUGUGGGCAAAGGAGUGCUGCUUGAUCCAAAUAUGAAUGUUAGCCACGUGAAUUCAAUAAUUAUGUUAGCCACACCCCACGAGGCAGCAUUGAUUUUUGACACUUCUAUAGCAACGAUUUACCAAAAUUUACAAAACCCCGGAGCACUUACCAAUAAGUCAAAAGUGUUGACUAUUUCUGUUGGAGGAGGACCUCGUGAUGUAUUGGUUAAUAGCAAUCAAAUUGUAGACCGGACAGCUGAUCUCAACGUCCUCACAACGCAUGUUCCUGGUGUUUGGAAAUCUACUGAUCAUGUAUCCAUACUUUGGUGCAAGGAAUUCCUUCUUGCCAUAAUACGUGCUUUAUUCGACUGUGUUGACUUGGUUGGAAGAUAUCCCAGAAUCACUUCAAACAAACAACACAAAUUAGACGUCUUCAAUUAUCACCUCUUACAGCGUUGUUGCGGUAAAAAGAUGGGUCAGUAUCAGACCAAAGUACAAUUUCGACUUGGUGGCGAAUGGAUCGAGGAUAUUCGUCGACAGUACACAUGGAAAGCUGCAGACCGAAUCGGCGCUACCAAUACAUCGCAGCUUUACCUAAUGAUCAGGUUGAUUGGUAUACAAGAUCACUUGACCAUUCAGACAACUAGAUUGGAAGCCAGAGAUUGGCUAUUUAUCUGCUCUGCAUCUACAAUACAGGGUCAUUCUAGAGUAUGUGAAUGGGGCUGGAAUUUGACGAACAAAAGUAGAAUAACCCCGGAUGGCACGUAUAAGAAGAAAACGGCAGACUUGGAUCUGGCGGAGUUGAAGGCACAACACUUGACGCACGUUAUAAUCAGAAUACCAUCCUCUAGUUUUCAUAAAGGGCUAUCCAUUGACGUAGACCUUCAUCGAAAGAGUGAUAGAAUAUCAAGUUUCCAAAAUAAACAUAUUUUGGCGUAUUGGGGUUUCGGAAAACUAGGCACAAUAGUAUCAAACAUUGGAGAUAUUCGAUACGAAGUGGAUCUGGACAGUAAUACGAAUUCCGUAUUGCUUGAAGUAAUCAACGUUCAGUGCCAUCAACAGAAUCAUCGCCAUCACGCAACAGUUGAGCUUUUCGAGCCAUGGUCUAAUGGUAUCAGUCAAGUUCGGCACUUUGCUUUUGAAAAUCUGGUGCCAAAAACUGUAAUAGUACAAACAAAAAAUGCGGCGAAUAGAGGCAAGGGUGUUGGCAAUAUGGCUCUCAAGCUAAAAUUUACAUUAGAUCCAAAAUGUAAAUAUACCAUUGAAGUGUUUAGUGGUGGGUUUAUAGAAACCCUGAGCACCGCAGUGAGAGAUCGUUGGCCAAAUGUUUAUGGGGUCAUGUCUGGACUCCUACUACUUGCUUUAGCAAAACAAGUAGAUCAUGAAAUCGGAUUGAUCAAAUCUACCAUCACCACUGUAAUCACGUUAGCUUUGUGCAUUGGUAUUGGCAUUGGCCCAGAAGGAUUUGUGUCCUUGGCUCUUCUACAGAUAUUUGCAGUUGUCAUUUGCUGCGCUGUUAUAAUAUUUGGUUCAACGGUAUACAACAUGGCCCAAAGGUUUUUAACACGCGCUCUGAAGUUUUCGCCGAUAUGGUCAGAAUGGUUGAUAGGAGGUUUAAUUCAACUGCCUCUGAUUGCUCCUACAAUAUUAUUGUCUAUGGUACCUGUCACAUGCGGAGCUUUAUCCAUGUUCACAUUUAUCGGACUACAAUUCCUCAAACUCACAAGAUUAUACGAGGAUUAUCUAGAAGAACUGUUAUUAACUUCUCUGCGGUCUAAUUUCAUCGAUAGAUUUCGAGUUAAUAGAGAAAAGCCAAGUAUCGAGGAGCAGAUUCAAAGUGACAGUCAUACGGAUGGAAAACAGAUUGUAUUUCAGUUGAUACUAUUCCUAACGUGGUGCAUCGCUGCCAUUCCUGCUAUACCUUCAGUCCUCACAUGGGCCAAGAAUUACAGAUUCAGUGUCAAAUUGAGCACAGAAGACCCUCUCCUGAUGGCUUGCUGGAUAAUAUUAGUUACUUGUGGUUCGACAGGCAUCAAAUGGAUUCCUCCCAGCACACCUGAUUAUUAUUCACAAGCAAUUGCGAUUGUAAUCCGAAUACUAGGAUGGACAGCGCUGGCAGUCACUGGAAUUGGCUAUCCCUCUCAGUACCAGUAUUUAAUGCCCCCGCUCAUUGCAGUAGCCGUUGCUCUUAUUACUAUCCGUUCUUUUAUUAAGAUUUCUAGCUGGGCGUAAUGACAAAUUUUAAAUAUUACCUGACGUGGCAUCGAUCACGUAACUUCAAUUUGGCCAAAAUAGUUGCAAAAAUGAAACACUGGCAUGAUCAUGUUCAAGUUUCAUUUGAUGGAAUGAGGAAGUUCUCAAGUUCUCCGAAACCAAAGUCGAGUCAUAUUGUGUACAUGUCAAUUACCAGAACUGACGUCUUUAUUUGAGUAAACAACGCAAUCAAUUCUGAUUUACCCAAUAAGCUAAAAGAAAAAAGAAAUUGGAAAUGACACAAAAAUUUGAAUCCUGCUGCAUUCAUUUUUUGAUCCCUUAAAUUGAAAUAUUCGAAAUUUGGCUCGCAAAUUAGAAUGGCUCAUUAUUCGAUUCAAAAAAAAAAAAAAACGUUCUCAUUGGUUGGACCUGAUUUUUGCACAAAAAAACCAGAAGUGCCAGAACUUUUGGAUUAGCCCCCGUUCCAAUGAUCUAUGUCGUGAUUAUUGCAUUAUUUUCGACGAUUUACUUUGCCUGAAUUGAUUAAUUACUGAAUACCGCUGAAUGGCAGCGUUUUACCAUCAUUGGAACUUUAUUAGAACGCGUAAGAUUCUAUCUACUUUUUCUGAAUAAUUAAAAUAAUAUCAAUAAACGGAAAAAAUGUACUAUAAUUUUUAUUUACAAGAUUGAAAAUGGAUAAAAAUGAAUACAUUUAACAGGGUGUAUACUCGAAUCUGAAAAUAAAUUUCCCUGACUUUUCCAGGUUUUCCAGAGAAAAAAUUUCAUUUUUUCCGGUCUCUUCUUCCACGAUUACAGACAGAUUUGAAGUGAUGCUCUUCAAUUUUUUAAUUUUAUAUUCUCUUUAUUAAACUUUUAUAUCAGGUGAGCGUCAAAAUGGCUAAGUUCAAAGGAAGAUCUAAAGAAGUGAGAUUUUGACGUCAUCUCCUUAUCAAAUUCAGCUGAUUGAGAAAUCAGCAGUUCCGAAAAAAAGCAAAAGAUCGCGAUGAAAAAAAGGAACGUCACAAAAAGAAAAGCUGAAUCGAAAUCGCGUGCCAAAAAAAACGACACCAAGUGCAUAAUUUGUGGCGAAACAUUUGACGAGGACUGGAUCCAAUGCCACAAAUGUCAAGACUGGGCUCACGAGGAAUGCGUUGAUAUAAAUCCAGGCGAUUUAUACUACACGUGUGACGGUUGUGUAGCCAAAGAACGAUUUCGGAAUUAAAUAUCGCAGUGGCCGGAGCUACCCGCCACUUUUUUUCGGAGGAUGAAUUUAAGCCAGAAAUUAACAUUUUUUUUUUAAGUUGUUGAUAAUUUAUAAUUUUUUUUGUUCGGAUAUUCUGUUGAAAUAUAUCUUUGUUGAGAUA